Molecule: ribosomal RNA, 253 nt
Filed under: uncultured bacterium
Lineage: Bacteria
Description: partial 16S ribosomal RNA
Rfam family: Bacterial small subunit ribosomal RNA
Source: RNAcentral
UACGUAGGGGGCAAGCGUUGUCCGGAAUCAUUGGGCGUAAAGAGCGUGUAGGCGGCUCGGUAAGUCCGCUGUGAAAGUCCAGGGCUCAACCCUGGAAUGCCGGUGGAAACUGUCGAGCUAGAGUCCGGAAGAGGCGAGUGGAAUUCCUAGUGUAGAGGUGAAAUUCGUAGAUAUUAGGAAGAACACCGGUGGCGAAGGCGGGACUCUGGGCCGAUACUGACGCUGAGGAGCGAAAGCGUGGGGAGCAAACAGG